UCCUACGGGAGGCAGCAGUGGGGAAUAUUGCACAAUGGGCGCAAGCCUGAUGCAGCAACGCCGCGUGAGGGACGAAGGCCUUCGGGUUGUAAACCUCUUUUAGUAGGGAAGAAGCGACUGGGUUUUCCUGGGAGUGACGGUACCUGCAGAAAAAGCACCGGCUAACUACGUGCCAGCAGCCGCGGUAAUACGUAGGGUGCAAGCGUUGUCCGGAAUUAUUGGGCGUAAAGAGCUCGUAGGCGGUUUGUCGCGUCUGCUGUGAAAACCCGAGGCUCAACCUCGGGCCUGCAGUGGGUACGGGCAGACUAGAGUGCGGUAGGGGAGAUUGGAAUUCCUGGUGUAGCGGUGGAAUGCGCAGAUAUCAGGAGGAACACCAAUGGCGAAGGCAGAUCUCUGGGCCGUAACUGACGCUGAGGAGCGAAAGCAUGGGGAGCGAACAGGAUUAGAUACCCUGGUAGUCCAUGCCGUAAACGUUGGGAACUAGAUGUGGGGACCAUUCCACGGUCUCCGUGUCGCAGCUAACGCAUUAAGUUCCCCGCCUGGGGAGUACGGCCGCAAGGCUAAAACUCAAAGGAAUUGACGGGGGCCCGCACAAGCGGCGGAGCAUGCGGAUUAAUUCGAUGCAACGCGAAGAACCUUACCAAGGCUUGAUAUAUACCGGAAACGGCUGGAAACAGUCGCCCCGCAAGGUCGGUAUACAGGUGGUGCAUGGUUGUCGUCAGCUCGUGACGUGAGAUGUUGGGUUAAGUCCCGCAACGAGCGCAACCCUCGUCCUAUGUUGCCAGCACGUAAUGGUGGGAACUCAUGGGAUACUGCCGGGGUCAACUCGGAGGAAGGUGGGGAUGACGUCAAAUCAUCAUGCCCCUUAUGUCUUGGGCUUCACGCAUGCUACAAUGGCCGGUACAAAGGGCUGCGAUACCGCAAGGUGGGAGCGAAUCCCAAAAAGCCGGUCUCAGUUCGGAUUGAGGUCUGCAACUCGACCUCAUGAAGUGGGAGUCGCUAGUAAUCGCAGAUCAGCAACGCUGCGGUGAAUACGUUCCCGGCCCUUGUACACACCGCC
RNAcentral lists this ribosomal RNA (1060 nucleotides) under uncultured Cryobacterium sp. RNAcentral describes it as "bacterial SSU rRNA". It matches the Rfam family "Bacterial small subunit ribosomal RNA", at positions 337 to 1394 of the family's 1533-position model. Lineage: Bacteria; Bacillati; Actinomycetota; Actinomycetes; Micrococcales; Microbacteriaceae. The record is from RNAcentral.